GAUGAACGCUAGCUACAGGCUUAACACAUGCAAGUCGCGGGGCAGCAUGGGGGUUGCUUGCAAUCCCCGAUGGCGACCGGCGCACGGGUGAGUAACGCGUAUCCAACCUGCCCUUCACCACGGGAUAACCCGGCGAAAGUCGGACUAAUACCGUAUGUUGUCCAUUGACGGCAUCCGAUUUGGACGAAAGGCUUGGCGGUGAGGGAUGGGGAUGCGUCCGAUUAGCCAGACGGUGGGGUAACGGCCCACCGUGGCUACGAUCGGUAGGGGUUCUGAGAGGAAGGUCCCCCACACUGGAACUGAGACACGGUCCAGACUCCUACGGGAGGCAGCAGUGAGGAAUAUUGGUCAAUGGGCGUAAGCCUGAACCAGCCAAGUAGCGUGCAGGAUGACGGCCCUAUGGGUUGUAAACUGCUUUUAUGCGGGGAUAAAGUGGCCCACGUGUGGGCUUUUGCAGGUACCGCAUGAAUAAGGACCGGCUAAUUCCGUG
This 490-nucleotide ribosomal RNA is filed under the name uncultured bacterium. RNAcentral's name for it is "partial 16S ribosomal RNA". It matches the Rfam family "Bacterial small subunit ribosomal RNA", at positions 28 to 507 of the family's 1533-position model. The record is from RNAcentral.